This 259-nucleotide long non-coding RNA is filed under the name Elaeis guineensis (African oil palm). RNAcentral describes it as "long non-coding RNA (EGUI_LNC039193)". Lineage: Eukaryota; Viridiplantae; Streptophyta; Magnoliopsida; Arecales; Arecaceae. The record is from RNAcentral.
GUGGUUGUUUUGGCAAGGCUUGAGUCGAUGAGGGUAGGUCAUCCAUGGCCCAUGGUUGAGGAUAGCUUCGAAAAUGGAGGGAAGCAACAAUGUUAAUUAGGGAUUUGAGGUGGAUGUAGGACAAAAUGUGGAAGAGGAUGAAGGUGUUGAGUCGGAGUCGCCAACAAGAGGUUCAAAAAAAAAGUUACGAUGGAGAUAGAUGGUGGGGAUGUAUCCUAUACGUUGGCAUCAGGAUCUGCUAGCUAGAUCUUUGGUGGCC